AAGUCGUAACAAGGUUUCCGUAGGUGAACCUGCGGAAGGAUCAUUAACACGUAUCCAACGUUAAAACCCCCCCGUGAACUUCAGUGUGAUCGUACGCUUUGUUAGAAAGUAGCAAUCCCUGGUAAAUCAUCGCCGAACAGUUUUGAUUCAGGGACUUCUGCGAAGAGUGUGCUUGUAGCGCGAGGCAAGUGGCCUGGCAUCCUUGUCUAAAAGUGUCAAGGGUGGCAAUCACGAUCGCUAGAGGCCGACACGGCCGGCGACCGGACACCGGCUCCCCUUAAUAACCUUUGCAUGAAAACGCGCCUGCGCUUAAUUGUGCGGACUGUUAACAAUGGAUAUCUUGGUUCUCA
This 350-nucleotide unclassified non-coding RNA is filed under the name fungal sp. RNAcentral's name for it is "partial internal transcribed spacer region". The stretch from base 1 to 46 matches the Rfam family "Eukaryotic small subunit ribosomal RNA", at positions 1786 to 1831 of the family's 1831-position model. The record is from RNAcentral. Lineage: Eukaryota; Fungi.